RNAcentral lists this ribosomal RNA (681 nucleotides) under uncultured Bacteroidales bacterium. Its description in RNAcentral is "bacterial SSU rRNA". It matches the Rfam family "Bacterial small subunit ribosomal RNA", at positions 65 to 735 of the family's 1533-position model. The record is from RNAcentral. Lineage: Bacteria; Pseudomonadati; Bacteroidota; Bacteroidia; Bacteroidales.
AGGGGCAGCAUGGUCUUAGCUUGCUAAGGCCGAUGGCGACCGGCGCACGGGUGAGUAACACGUAUCCAACCUGCCGUCUACUCUUGGACAGCCUUCUGAAAGGAAGAUUAAUACAAGAUGGCAUCAUGAGUCCACAUGUUCACAUGAUUAAAGGUAUUCCGGUAGACGAUGGGGAUGCGUUCCAUUAGAUAGUAGGCGGGGUAACGGCCCACCUAGUCUUCGAUGGAUAGGGGUUCUGAGAGGAAGGUCCCCCACAUUGGAACUGAGACACGGUCCAAACUCCUACGGGAGGCAGCAGUGAGGAAUAUUGGUCAAUGGGCGAGAGCCUGAACCAGCCAAGUAGCGUGAAGGAUGACUGCCCUAUGGGUUGUAAACUUCUUUUAUAAAGGAAUAAAGUCGGGUAUGCAUACCCGUUUGCAUGUACUUUAUGAAUAAGGAUCGGCUAACUCCGUGCCAGCAGCCGCGGUAAUACGGAGGAUCCGAGCGUUAUCCGGAUUUAUUGGGUUUAAAGGGAGCGUAGAUGGAUGUUUAAGUCAGUUGUGAAAGUUUGCGGCUCAACCGUAAAAUUGCAGUUGAUACUGGAUAUCUUGAGUGCAGUUGAGGCAGGCGGAAUUCGUGGUGUAGCGGUGAAAUGCUUAGAUAUCACGAAGAACUCCGAUUGCGAAGGCAGCCUGCUAAGCU